CCUACGGGGGGCAGCAGUGGGGGAUAUUGCACAAUGGGGGGAACCCUGAUGCAGCGACGCCGCGUGGGUGAAGGAGUGCUUCGGCAUGUAAAGCCCUAUCGGCAGGGAAGAAGCAAGACGGUACCUGACUAAGAAGCCCCGGCUAACUACGUGCGAGCAGCCGCGGUAAGACGUAGGGGGCGAGCGUGAUCCGGUUUCACUGGGUGUAAAGGGAGCGGAGACGGCCAUGCAAGCCAGGGGUGAAAGGCCGGGGCCCAACCCCGGGACCGCCCUUGAAACGGUAUGGCUGGAGUGCGGGAGGGGGAGGCGGAAUUCCUGGUGUAGCGGUGAAAUGCGUAGAUAUCAGGAGGAACACCGGCGGCGAAGGCGGCCUGCUGGACCGGGACUGACGUUGAGGCUCGAAAGCGUGGGGAGCGAACAGGAUUAGAUACCCUUGUAGUC
This 441-nucleotide ribosomal RNA is filed under the name uncultured bacterium. Its description in RNAcentral is "partial 16S ribosomal RNA". It matches the Rfam family "Bacterial small subunit ribosomal RNA", at positions 338 to 795 of the family's 1533-position model. The record is from RNAcentral.